GUAUCAGAGCGAGUUAAGAGCAAGCAAAGAGAGAGUCUAGGACUGACCUAGGAGACCCUAGGACGGUGAACCUUAAGGUUAUAGGUGCGUGAGUGGAACGUAAACCUAUACGGUGGCGGAAGUUGAAUCGAUUGGGUCGAGUUAGUAAACCUCUAAGACGGAUGUUAGAGGUGGAUUCAAGGUUCUGUUUAUUCUCACACGAGAGUGUUCAUGUUGGAUGCAUACAACAUGAAACUGAGUGGUGAGAAUAGGCACCCUGGUGUGACUUUCGCCCGAUUGAGUCGUGUUGUUUCGCUAUUGCGGCGAAGCUAACAAGUUAAGGUGAUUAACCAAGUUCUUGUGUUUCAGGAGCUAAUGGCACCAAUGAGACACUACGUGCGUAGAUCCGUUCCGGCACAGCCUACUAAGGUGCCAGAACAAGCUGGAUCAAGUGAGGUGCAAGAACUGCGGGCGCAUAUGACUGCACUAGUUGGCGUGGUUCAGCACCAAGGAAGGUCGUGGUCUGCCCGCGCCCUCGAUUCGCGCGCUUGAUGCGGCUGAAGGUGAGGGCCUGGCAGCGGUUCCGAU
RNAcentral lists this long non-coding RNA (567 nucleotides) under Ananas comosus (pineapple). RNAcentral describes it as "long non-coding RNA (ACOM_LNC037378)". Lineage: Eukaryota; Viridiplantae; Streptophyta; Magnoliopsida; Poales; Bromeliaceae. The record is from RNAcentral.